Molecule: long non-coding RNA, 369 nt
Filed under: Brassica napus (rape)
Lineage: Eukaryota; Viridiplantae; Streptophyta; Magnoliopsida; Brassicales; Brassicaceae
Description: long non-coding RNA (BNAP_LNC005459)
Source: RNAcentral
AGGGAAAAUUUUGGGUUUAGAGGGAAAUGGGUUUUGGGUUUAGGAGGGAAUAUUUUUUGGGUUUAUUACAUGGUGGGAAAUAGGUUUAGGGUAUAGAGAAGGUUUAGGGUUUAGUUAGGUUUUAGAAAAAAUGUAUUUUUUAUGAAAUCUCAAAACUGUUAAUUAGAAUGUAAUAAUAUAAGAAACUAAAAAAACUUAAAUAUAUUAACAUUUUAAAACUAAGAAAUCUAGUUAUUUUAUAUUUCUAAAUUUUAAACUUCAUAAAUUAUAAAUUUAUUUUAUAUUUCUAAUUUAAAAACUUCCUAAAUUUAAAAACUUCAUAAACUACUUAUUUAUAUUACAAAUUUUUUAAACUUCAUAAACUACAAA